GGCAAGCGUUGUUCGGAAUUACUGGGAGUAAAGGGCUCGUAGGCGGCCAAUUAAGUCAUAUGUGAAAUCCCUCGGCUUAACCGGGGAACUGCGUCUGAUACUGGAUGGCUUGAGUUCGGGAGAGGGAUGCGGAAUUCCAGGUGUAGCGGUGAAAUGCGUAGAUAUCUGGAGGAACACCGGUGGCGAAGGCGGCAUCCUGGACCGAUACUGACGCUGAGGAGCGAAAGCCAGGGGAGCAAACGGG
This 244-nucleotide ribosomal RNA is filed under the name uncultured bacterium. RNAcentral's name for it is "partial 16S ribosomal RNA". It matches the Rfam family "Bacterial small subunit ribosomal RNA", at positions 533 to 776 of the family's 1533-position model. The record is from RNAcentral.